Molecule: long non-coding RNA, 536 nt
Organism: Lolium rigidum
Lineage: Eukaryota; Viridiplantae; Streptophyta; Magnoliopsida; Poales; Poaceae
Exons: 5
Source: RefSeq, a predicted model, not a curated record
CUUCGCAUACGAGCAGCCUCCCGACGUUGCCUGCUUGCUCCGGCGACCAGGCCCUGCCGGCGACGGUGUCCUUCGGUAUCAAGUACGCAGCUGAGGCCACUUAGAGAUCGCUUCGUGAACAGGAGGAGAGAUCGGGAGAAGAGAUGACGAGGCCAUCGGAUUCGACAUCGAUCUCCACACAACACACGGACCCUGGCCCGGGUAUGGAGAAUCCGUAUGAACGAAGUAGAGAAGACAGACAAAUAGGAGCGCAACCCAUUUAUGCCUUGCCAUCGAACGAUUGGGGUAUCAUGUUCUACAUCAGGAUGGAUCACUCGGGAUCUUUCCACACAUAUCCUCGUGUUGGUGGGCCAUUUCAGAGCCUCCAGGAAGCUCAAGAUGGUAUCGAGUGCUAUCUGAUUGAGCGCGAGGAUCCAAAAAUGUUCCUGGGUGCGGUGUCUGAUAUUGAGAUGCGUUCAAUACGUCGUAAAUAUUGGCCUGAUGGCACAAGGAAGAUGCCUCCAGAAUUUUAUCUAGUGGACAUAACCCGUAAUUGG